Molecule: long non-coding RNA, 198 nt
Organism: Toxotes jaculatrix (banded archerfish)
Lineage: Eukaryota; Metazoa; Chordata; Actinopteri; Toxotidae
Exons: 3
Source: RefSeq, a predicted model, not a curated record
AGGAUGAAGACCCCUUCACCCCCUUCACCAGCUGGACCCAGAGCCCGUCGCUCUCCUCGCCCAGCUAAGACCGUCCAGACGCCAUUUCCCUCAUCAACCAGCUGGCCCUGGAUCAUCGAUGACGGACUCUCCACCUCUUGUUCCCCAGCUAAAAAAGUUAUUCAGCCAGUUACUGUGAGUGUUAGGGCCAGUCAUAGU